UUGAGUGUUAUCUUCUUGGAUUACAUUACCCGUGUCUAUUAAUUCUUGCUAGUUCUGUCACCUCGGAUAUGAUUCAUAUCCGGGAAGGAUCUGUUGAAUCAUGGGAGAUUUGCGCUUAUCAGGCGGAUAAAUCCUUAAGGACAGUGCGAUCAGCACGCCUCAGGUAUUGUAUCACGGUUCACUAUUUUGCAGGUUUAUGAUUCUGUGGUUGUUUACUAUGCGGUUGACAUCAAACUACUACACCCACAAGAGAUAAGUUCCUAUGAACUCUAUUUUAAUUUGUUCUCUAUAAUAUUUGUUGAAUUACUUAAAUUAAUAAAUUGUUGAAUAUUGUGAUUAGGUCCAAUUAUUUACAACAAUCUUAAGGAUUUAGUCUCUUGUAUUAUGCUCAGACUCUAAAACCCCAAUUUUGCGGCGAGAGAAAAACUACAAUUUGAAUACCUAAGUACAGUGGGUGAUAAAGAAUUAUGUGGAUAUAUAGCUGGAAUUUUCAAUCCACGAAAUGAUGGUAUAUGGUUAGUGCAAUCCCUUAGAUAUGAAUGUUGCAAAAACGUGAUAUAAAAAUCCAAGUAAGUCUCUCUUUAAUUGAGCUUGUUUAAUUUGAUUGUGAAACAUAUAUCGAUCUAUAUAAAUUUCUGUGAAUAAUUUUUAUAUCUUACUCAACAUCCAUGAGAAUGAAUGGUAAUUCUUGAAAGUAUAUAUUCAAUUCCUAAUUGGAU
This 719-nucleotide long non-coding RNA is filed under the name Trifolium pratense (red clover). RNAcentral's name for it is "long non-coding RNA (TPRA_LNC008563)". The record is from RNAcentral. Lineage: Eukaryota; Viridiplantae; Streptophyta; Magnoliopsida; Fabales; Fabaceae.